CAGUAGCCGCGGGAAUACGUAGGGUGCAAGCGUUAAUCGGAAUUACUGGGCGUAAAGCGUGCGCAGGCGGUGUUGUAAGACUGAUGUGAAAUCCCCGGGCUCGACCUGGGAACUGCAUUGGUGACUGCAGCGCUGGAGUGCGGCAGAGGGGGAUGGAAUUCCGCGUGUAGCAGUGAAAUGCGUAGAUAUGCGGAGGAACACCGAUGGCGAAGGCAAUCCCCUGGGCCUGCACUGACGCUCAUGCACGAAAGCGUGUGGAGCAAACAGGAUUAGAUACCCCCGUAGUCCCUGUCUCUUAUAC
RNAcentral lists this ribosomal RNA (301 nucleotides) under uncultured bacterium. Its description in RNAcentral is "partial 16S ribosomal RNA". It matches the Rfam family "Bacterial small subunit ribosomal RNA", at positions 509 to 807 of the family's 1533-position model. The record is from RNAcentral.